UUCCCUCUCUUUCCCUCUCUCUCUCUCUCUCUCUCUCUCUCUCUCUCUCUCUCUCUCUCUCUCUCUCUCUCUCUCUCUCUCUCUCUCUCUCUCUCUCUCUCUCUCUCUCUCUCUCUCUCUCUCAAUACCCAAGAUUACGCUCCAGAAAUUGAAGGUUUCCGAAAGCGUCCAUAAGUGAGUGGUCAGAACUGUUUCACCAGCCUAUGCUUAUCCAUCGUGCAUCUUGGGAAGGGUGGAGGUAGCUCCUCUACGGGAGACUGGACGUUCCAGAAGUAAAACUAAUGAGGAUUUUUUUUUACAAAUAUAAAUAAUAGUUGAUAUUUUUUAGGAAUAUAUUAUUCAAUCAAUCUUAUCCUGUAUUUUACUGAAAAAAUGGUUAUGUAAAACUGUAAAUAAUAAAGAAUUUUAUUUACAAAUUUAACGAUUAUUUAAUAAUAACAAUGACAAAGGAAUUUUGUAUAAUUUUUCAGCAAUUUAUUUUGUAAUUACAUACUGAUAAAUGUUAUACAGACAAGGCGCCUGAGAGACCCAAUAAUACCCAGAGUCUUGUUACAGUUGAAACGCCACAGUGCGCCGUUUGGAUUCUACAGCUGAAGGCUUUUACAAACCUUGAAUUUCCGGGUGAUAGGGAGAGCACGUUCAAAACCUUCCAACACAGAGUGAACCCAACACACACAAACCUCUCUAGCUACCACUCUAUUUUUGUACCCCCUCGCCUUAACAUGUGUUGGAAAACGGAAGAAAUAUAUAGAAUAUAAUGUGUUAAUAAUAAUAAAAUCUUAAGCUUGUAUUUCAAACUUUUUUGUUUAUAUAUAUAUAUAUAUAUAUAUAUAUAUAUAUAUAUAUAUAUAUAUAUAUAUAUAUAUAUAUAUAAUCUCAGGAGCACGAUUGACUCAGCUGCUUUAAAAGAGGACAACCCGUGUUCUGAACGUUGCUACUUCGGCUUGUAAAGAAUCGGAGGGUUUUAAAGAGAUUUUCUAUCCGGUUUAAAUUGAGAGUUUUGUGAUCGGGUCCAAUUCCGGGCUGUAGGAAAUUUGAGAGAAAACGAAUUUCUGGUUUAUAUAGCGAGAGAGAGAGAAUGCAUGUCAUAGGCUGUGGUGACUACGGAUAUAGGCUUUCAAAGGGAAUUUCCUGUCUAUCAGAGGGGAAGGUUUGUGUUAUGAAAUGCGUUCAUUGAGAUAGACUGCGGACCUCAGCCAUAUCGGGAAAUAUUUUGAGCUGUGUAGAAUAUAAUUUCUACGGAAUUGACAAGAGGUUUGUGAUAUAGGAAGCGCUACGUAGAAGCUUGAUAAGCGUGUUAUGUAUGUCGAAGGGAGAUUGUUAAAACAAGGACCCAACAGUCAUUAUAGACCCCGUGUGUGUGUGUAAACAUCAAGCGAGCUGUUAAAUCCCUUUGUGUAAUCAUCAAGGGAUUUGUUAAUCCCUAAACAUUACAGAUAUUUAAAAAGUAUUACAACAUGGUGUACAUGUUUUAACAAUUUAAAUUUUAAAAAUAUUUAUAUAACAAAAACACAUACCGCUAUUGAAAUAGUUUAAGGAUUCAAACCCGUACAGUAGAGAACCUUUUCAAAACCUUUCAUUCUUGAAGUCCCAACGCCAGGCGCCACGUUGAGCUGUUCGAAGUGCUCUCUGACUGCCGGGAUUGAUCAAGCAGUUACGUGUACCAUUCCUCUUGCCUUCAAUCAUUGGCGGCUUAGUCUACCUUCAUUCAACAGUUUCCGAGCACCGAGAUGCUAUAAUAUUACGAUGUCAACAACAGCAAUAACCUCAGGUUGUGUACGACCUCGUAGCGUCUCGCAGGUCGUAGACUGUAUUAAGUGAAUAGCAAUUAAGACGCCAUUAUCGAGCCAAGAGGCACAAGUCUCUUUACUGGACACUUGAGUACUGGGUGAGUCCCGGCCAAUAUUCUUGUUACUCAUUGAGGUAUUAGUUGCGUGUUACGUGAGUGAGUCAUUGAUGUUUCCUCCCUGCACCCACCUCACAGUGAAUACAUAAACACAAAUUUGUGUAUUUUGCACAUUUAUUUAGGAUAAAAUAAAUGGUGAAUAAGUACGAGUUUAAUAGCCACGUUGGUUGACAUUCCAAGAGAGUUUAUUCAGUGACCCUUUGUCAGGAUUCCUCCAGCUCUGCGGUGGUGUGAGAGACGCACACACAAUGCUUUACUGAUUUGAAAGGUAUUAAUAACAACUCUAAAACUAGAGUAACAUUGCUAAUAACAGCAGCAGCAUCAACACUAAACACCAUUACUAAUGUUUCUAUUAAUUAUAUUGAUUUGAAUUUACUAGUUUCUUAGUCACGGCUUGCUGAAGAAGCUUUAAAAGUCAAGCGCUGGAGAUUCAACAAUUUUUAAAGAAAUUUUGUACAAAAUGGCGAGAAAUUGUCAAUAAAGAGGGGAAAAUCUAGUGUCGUAUGCUCACAGCACCGAAGAAAUUACCCUUUUCCUUUAAACACACACACACACAUAUAUAUAUAAUUUGUACAAGGCAUUAGAGUUAUUAUAAAUUGUGAAUUGUAGCCUAGUUACAAGAUCCUUCAAAAUAGAUUUUUCCGAAAUUUUAAUUUUCCACCAAACGUUUAGUUAAUGGUAAGUUUCAUAGGAGGUCAUUAUUUCUGCUUUUGUUCACCGACAUGAUAAGGAUUUCUAAAAUAUCUUUAUUCUUGACAAACAUCGCUUUUAUGCUCCUUGUCGGGAUAUACCAAGAGCUCAUUCUCAGUUCUUUGAUCGCGUUGAAAUGAGUUCAAAUCUACGCAUUAAGAAAGCACACGCCAAUUUAUGUUAGUUAACAUGUAAGCUGUUCAGCCCCGUUUAAAUUGGUUCGGUGUGCACCACUGCAUCCCAUUUCAUUCUGAACAUCGAUAUUCAUCUCUCCGUAUACCAUUGUUCAUCUGUUAUCUCUUUGGUGUUCAGAUUUGAUCAAAAUCACCCCCCGGUUAUAAACUAAAAGAUUUAUGUUCACUUUUAUAUACAACUGUACAGUGAAGUUGAUUCUGUCUAUCUUUAAAUGUCGGUCGGCUAUAUACAUAUUUUUUAUAUACUAAAGUGUAAUUUUGUUUUUACUUUGAAGUUUAAAACGAUUUUAACUGAGAAUAUAUAUAUAUAUAUAUAUAUAUAUAUAUAUAUAUAUAUAUAUAUAUAUAUAUAUAUAUAUAUAUAUAUAUAUAUGGUGCUUUUUUCAGUGUACAAAAUCCUUGGGCCUAUUUAGCAUUAUUUCGCCUUGCUUUCUUUUGUUAGGCUUUUAUUUUUAUUGUUACUUAGUUUCUACCUUGUUUAUUUCCCCUCAAUUAUUUGUGGAUCUUUUAUGGCUUAUUCUCUUCUAUGUUGAUUUCUUAUAGACCGUUUGAUCGCUCAGACUUUAGUUAAUAGUCUAAAUCGUCAUAUAUGCCUUUCUAGUGCUCCUUGAGGUGUUCCUCGAGGUGCUCCUUAGGAUACUUCUGCAGGUCCUCCUCGAGGUGCGCAUGCAUGUGUUCCUUGAGGUGCUCCUUGAGCUGUUCCUCAAGUGCUUCAGCAGGUGUUCUUGGAAUGUUCCUUGAGGUGCUGCUGCAGAUGUGCUUUGAGGUGUUCCUGGAGGUGCUCCUUGAGGCGCUCCUUGAGAAGCUCCUUAAGGGUAUUCCUUCACCUGGCGCAAGGCGUUUCAAUACCUACUACCAUCACCGUUUCAAUCCUUCCCCUCAAAUUCUGUUGAUUUCCUUCUAUUUUUCAACCUGUUUUUUGGGGUUUUGAAUGUUUAUAUAUAGUAUUUUAUGGAAGCUGUAAUGAUCAGAAUGUUAUUCUUUGUCUUGUCUUUUCUUAUGCAUUUAAAUACAAGAAUAUAAAACCUUUAAAGCAGCUUGUUGACCCUAAUUACCAUACUCUAUUGUAGACUCGUUAACCCAGAGUAGACGUGUAGAUGGUUGUGUUCACCACUAAAAAAAAAAAAUAAUUUAAAUUGACCCUUAAAAACAAAUAAGAAGAGACUAUUUGUUGUAUUACCUUAAAUGUACACUACUCACAGCCUUGACCCUUGACCUGUCUCAGUCAUGUUCUGGGUCACGUGACCUUAUUGUUUGUAAACAGUGUCAUUAUUACGGCGCCUGAGGGUCAAAGUCGUUGAGUAUGAUACAAACAGAUUUAAAAAGAUAUUGUAUAUUUGUUUGCUUUUUUCCUGUUUGACUUAUAUAAUAAUUGAACCUGUAUAUCAAAGUGUUUCAAUAAACUCUUCGAUGUAAACAGUA
Procambarus clarkii (red swamp crayfish) is the source of this 4212-nucleotide non-coding RNA. Lineage: Eukaryota; Metazoa; Arthropoda; Malacostraca; Decapoda; Cambaridae. The record is from RefSeq and is a predicted model, not a curated record.